Molecule: ribosomal RNA, 372 nt
Filed under: uncultured organism
Description: partial 16S ribosomal RNA
Rfam family: Bacterial small subunit ribosomal RNA
Source: RNAcentral
AGAGGGGGCUAGCGUUAUUCGGAAUUAUUGGGCGUAAAGGGCGCGUAGGCGGCUUAGCAAGUGGAAGGUGAAAUCCCUCAGCUCAACUGAGGAACUGCCCUCCAAACUGCUUUGAUUGAGUCCGGGAGAGGUGAGUGGAAUUCCCAGUGUAGCGGUGAAAUGCGUAGAUAUUGGGAGGAACACCGGUGGCGAAGGCGGCUCACUGGACCGGUACUGACGCUGAGGCGCGAAAGCGUGGGGAGCGAACGGGGAUUAGAUACCCCGGUAGUCCACGCCGUAAACGAUGAGUGCUUGGUGUAGCGGGUAUCGACCCCUGCUGUGCCGAAGCUAACGCAAUAAGCACUCCGCCUGGGGAGUACGGCCGCAAGGCUG